RNAcentral lists this ribosomal RNA (253 nucleotides) under uncultured bacterium. RNAcentral describes it as "partial 16S ribosomal RNA". It matches the Rfam family "Bacterial small subunit ribosomal RNA", at positions 524 to 776 of the family's 1533-position model. The record is from RNAcentral.
UACGAAGGGGGCUAGCGUUGCUCGGAAUCACUGGGCGUAAAGCGCACGUAGGCGGAUCUUUAAGUCAGGGGUGAAAUCCCAAGGCUCAACCUUGGAACUGCCUUUGAUACUGGGGAUCUCGAGUCCGGAAGAGGUGAGUGGAACUGCGAGUGUAGAGGUGAAAUUCGUAGAGAUCGGGAGGAACACCUGUGGCGAAGGCGGCUCGCUGGGCCGAUCCUGACGCUGAGACGCGAAGGCGUGGGGAGCGAACGGG